Molecule: transfer RNA, 92 nt
Filed under: Bacteroidota bacterium
Lineage: Bacteria; Pseudomonadati; Bacteroidota
Description: Bacteroidetes bacterium (hydrothermal vent metagenome) tRNA-Ser
Rfam family: tRNA
About the family: Transfer RNA (tRNA) molecules are approximately 80 nucleotides in length. Their secondary structure includes four short double-helical elements and three loops (D, anti-codon, and T loops).
Source: RNAcentral
GGAGAGGUGCCGGAGUGGUCGAACGGGGCGGUCUCGAAAACCGUUGUCCCGAGGAAUCGGGACCGAGGGUUCGAAUCCCUCCCUCUCCGCCA